RNAcentral lists this microRNA precursor (70 nucleotides) under Pelobates cultripes (western spadefoot toad). The record is from RNAcentral. Lineage: Eukaryota; Metazoa; Chordata; Amphibia; Anura; Pelobatidae.
GUCCGGACGGUUACAGGAAACAGAAACUCCUGUUCCACGUGGAGUUUCUGUUUCCUGUAACCGGCCGGAC